GAUGAACGCUAGCGACAGGCUUAACACAUGCAAGUCGAGGGGCAGCAAUUUGUAGCAAUACAAAGUUGGCGACCGGCGCACGGGUGAGUAACGCGUAUGCAACCUACCCGCAACAGAAGAAUAAUCCGGCGAAAGUCGGUCUAAUGCUUCAUAAAACAGGGACACCGCAUGGUGCUAUUUGUUAAAGAUUUAUCGGUUGUGGAUGGGCAUGCGUACCAUUAGGUAGUUGGUGAGGUAACGGCCCACCAAGCCUACGAUGGUUAGGGGUUCUGAGAGGAAAGUCCCCCACACUGGUACUGAGACACGGACCAGACUCCUACGGGAGGCAGCAGUGAGGAAUAUUGGUCAAUGGGCGAGAGCCUGAACCAGCCAAGUCGCGUGAAGGAUGACGGCCCUAUGGGUUGUAAACUUCUUUUGCAGGGGAAUAAAAAUAUCCACGU
Molecule: ribosomal RNA, 440 nt
Filed under: Tannerella serpentiformis
Lineage: Bacteria; Pseudomonadati; Bacteroidota; Bacteroidia; Bacteroidales; Tannerellaceae
Description: bacterial SSU rRNA
Rfam family: Bacterial small subunit ribosomal RNA
Source: RNAcentral